RNAcentral lists this ribosomal RNA (252 nucleotides) under uncultured Bacteroidales bacterium. RNAcentral describes it as "partial 16S ribosomal RNA". It matches the Rfam family "Bacterial small subunit ribosomal RNA", at positions 524 to 776 of the family's 1533-position model. The record is from RNAcentral. Lineage: Bacteria; Pseudomonadati; Bacteroidota; Bacteroidia; Bacteroidales.
UACGUAGGUGGCAAGCGUUAUCCGGAUUUAUUGGGCGUAAAGGGUGCGCAGGCGGAUUUUUAAGUCAGCGGUCAAAUCGUGGGGCUCAACCCCAUCCAGCCGUUGAAACUGGGGAUCUAGAGUGUGCGAGAAGUAUGCGGAAUGCGUGGUGUAGCGGUGAAAUGCAUAGAUAUCACGCAGAACUCCGAUUGCGAAGGCAGCGUACCGGCGCCACACUGACGCUGAGGCACGAAAGCGUGGGGAUCGAACAGG